GAUGAACGCUGGCGGCGUGCCUAAUACAUGCAAGUCGAGCGAACAGAUGAGGAGCUUGCUCCUCUGACGUUAGCGGCGGACGGGUGAGUAACACGUGGAUAACCUACCUAUAAGACUGGGAUAACUUCGGGAAACCGGAGCUAAUACCGGAUAAUAUAUUGAACCGCAUGGUUCAAUAGUGAAAGACGGUUUUGCUGUCACUUAUAGAUGGAUCUGCGCCGCAUUAGCUAGUUGGUAAGGUAACGGCUUACCAAGGCAACGAUGCGUAGCCGACCUGAGAGGGUGAUCGGCCACACUGGAACUGAGACACGGUCCAGACUCCUACGGGAGGCAGCAGUAGGGAAUCUUCCGCAAUGGGCGAAAGCUUGACGGAGCAACGCCGCGUGAGUGAUGAAGGUCUUCGGAUCGUAAAACUCUGUUAUUAGGGAAGAACAAAUGUGUAAGUAACUAUGCACGUCUUGACGGUACCUAAUCAGAAAGCCACGGCUAACUACGUG
This 497-nucleotide ribosomal RNA is filed under the name uncultured bacterium. RNAcentral describes it as "partial 16S ribosomal RNA". It matches the Rfam family "Bacterial small subunit ribosomal RNA", at positions 28 to 507 of the family's 1533-position model. The record is from RNAcentral.